Molecule: ribosomal RNA, 588 nt
Filed under: uncultured bacterium
Lineage: Bacteria
Description: partial 16S ribosomal RNA
Rfam family: Bacterial small subunit ribosomal RNA
Source: RNAcentral
UGGGGAAUUUUGGACAAUGGGCGCAAGCCUGAUCCAGCCAUGCCGCGUGCGGGAAGAAGGCCUUCGGGUUGUAAACCGCUUUUGUCAGGGAAGAAAUCUUCUGAGUUAAUACCCCGGGAGGAUGACGGUACCUGAAGAAUAAGCACCGGCUAACUACGUGCCAGCAGCCGCGGUAAUACGUAGGGCGCAAGCGUUAAUCGGAAUUACUGGGCGUAAAGCGUGCGCAGGCGGUUUUGUAAGACAGAGGUGAAAUCCCCGGGCUCAACCUGGGAACUGCCUUUGUGACUGCAAGGCUUGAGUGCGGCAGAGGGGGAUGGAAUUCCGCGUGUAGCAGUGAAAUGCGUAGAUAUGCGGAGGAACACCGAUGGCGAAGGCAAUCCCCUGGGCCUGCACUGACGCUCAUGCACGAAAGCGUGGGGAGCAAAACAGGAUUAGAUACCCUGGUAGUCCACGCCCUAAACGAUGUCAACUGGCUUGUUGGGAAGGUUCCUUCUCAGUAACGUAGCUAACGCGUGAAGUUGACCGCCUGGGGGAGUACGGCCGCAAGGUUGAAACUCAAAUGAAUUGACGGGGUCAUAGCUGUUUCCU